RNAcentral lists this non-coding RNA (29 nucleotides) under Bombyx mori (domestic silkworm). Lineage: Eukaryota; Metazoa; Arthropoda; Insecta; Lepidoptera; Bombycidae. The record is from RNAcentral.
UAACUCACCAAAGUGGUGGUCGAAGCGCC